This is a non-coding RNA of Bombyx mori (domestic silkworm), 84 nucleotides long. The record is from Rfam. Lineage: Eukaryota; Metazoa; Arthropoda; Insecta; Lepidoptera; Bombycidae.
UUAACUCAUAUUUGUAUGGAGUGGGAUCGUUUGCGUACGUUUGCCGCUAGGGGCGCUGUUCCACCUGCAUACUAAAUUGGGUUA